AAAGAAUUAGUUAAUCUUUUAUAACCUUAAAAUGUCAAUUUAAAAUAAUUUAAUAUUUAUUAAAUAUUCUUUA
RNAcentral lists this transfer RNA (73 nucleotides) under Solenopsis invicta (red fire ant). Its description in RNAcentral is "tRNA-Asp". Lineage: Eukaryota; Metazoa; Arthropoda; Insecta; Hymenoptera; Formicidae. RNAcentral also lists the same sequence under 1 other name. The record is from RNAcentral.